This is a long non-coding RNA of Arachis stenosperma, 1214 nucleotides long. RefSeq lists it as uncharacterized. The record is from RefSeq and is a predicted model, not a curated record. The transcript has 4 exons. Lineage: Eukaryota; Viridiplantae; Streptophyta; Magnoliopsida; Fabales; Fabaceae.
AAUAGUAAACUAAGGAAAAGCUUUCGAAAGCUUGAAGUAAGGAAAAUAGAAUCAAGAAGAAAUGAGAAGCAAAAACGGAAGAAGUACGCUGUUUUCUUCUUUAACAUGUUCCAUUGAGACGAAUUCUUUGAAAUCUUUCGAAUUUUUCUACUGUUUGAGACAGAAUUUUUUUAAUACAUAUUCUUUUUUUCUCAAAAAUAAAAGCAUUUCUAGCUAGCCAUGAUUGUCACAGGAGGUAUUAUGCUUGCUAAAUCGGAAUUGAUCCAUGCGUUCAUCACUGCAAAACAGAACACUGUAGCGUCUCUGGAGGAAUUUGACAGAUCGGACAAGUCUUGUCGAUUCCUCUAGUAUUCUUUUAUUCAAAUUAUGCAUUACUGGAUCUUGUUUUGAAGGCGUUCAUGGAGGUUAUCCAUAAGAGAAUGAAAAAAUUGAAAUUUGCUGGAUUUGCUGAGCUAUUUCAAUACUAAAGUUGUGGCUAAGCAGUUGGGGGUUCUAGUCUCCAUUCUCUAUAAUGAGUUGUCGCACCCAGGUAAUAUUAUCAUCAUUGCAUUCACCAUUUGGGAUUCUGAAAGGAGCCUGAUCUCCAAACUAGGGGUCUUGCCUAAUCUUAAUUGAACUUUGUGCCGUUAUGCUCCAUUUUACUCCUUUUUCUAGUACUUUUCUAUCCUCUAAGAGGCUUUGCCAAGCCCAUGAAGAUCUGUUACCUGCUUUUGCUUCCAAGAAUGAUGAGUACUUGAAGUACUUAUUUUUAUAGAUUUUGUAAAAGAGUGUGUGAGUGUUUGUGAGAAGCCGCCAGUCUUAUUUGCCUAGCAUUGCCAAGUUGAAAGCCUUGAGAUCUUUGAAGGUUAAUCCUUCAUGAUUCUUGUCUCGACUCAUGAUAUCCCAGUUGACCCAGUGCAUUCUCUUUUCAUUAGUUUUCUGUCCUCACCAAAAUUACAUCAUCAUUCUAUGUAAUUUCUCCAGUAAUGAGUCAGAUAAUUUAAAGCAGCUUAAAGUCUAUACUGGAAUUGCUGAUCCUAUUGCCUUUAUAAGUAUCUCCCUUCUACUAGUGGGUAAGAAUGUUCUUUUUCAAUGCACCAAUUUCUUUUCUACCUUAUUUUUAAUAAAAAAAGGUUUCGUUCUUAGACCUAUUUACUAUAGAUGGCAACCCUAAAUAUUUAUCUUGAGCGCCAUUAUUUUGAACUCCUAAUGUAUUAGCCAAAACAGUCCGAAUU